UACGUAGGGUGCAAGCGUUGUCCGGAAUUAUUGGGCGUAAAGAGCUCGUAGGCGGUUUGUCGCGUCUGCUGUGAAAGCCCGGGGCUCAACCCCGGGUCUGCAGUGGGUACGGGCAGACUUGAGUGCGGUAGGGGAGAUUGGAAUUCCUGGUGUAGCGGUGGAAUGCGCAGAUAUCAGGAGGAACACCGAUGGCGAAGGCAGAUCUCUGGGCCGUUACUGACGCUGAGGAGCGAAAGCAUGGGUAGCCAACAGGAUUAGAUACCCCCGUA
Molecule: ribosomal RNA, 269 nt
Filed under: uncultured prokaryote
Description: partial 16S ribosomal RNA
Rfam family: Bacterial small subunit ribosomal RNA
Source: RNAcentral